GCUGGGUGUGGUGGCACAUGCCUGUAGUCCCAGCUACUCAGGAGACUGAGAUGGAAGGAUUGCUUGAUCCCAGGAGUUCUGGGCUGUACUGCGCUAUGCCGAGUGGGUGUCUGCACUAAGUUCGGCAUCAAUAUGGUGACCUCCUGGGAACAGGGGACCACCAGGUUUCCUAAAGAGGGGUGAACUGGCCCAGGUCAGAAACGGAGCAGGUCAAGACUCCCAUGCUGAUCAGUAGUGGGGUCGUGCCUGUGAAUAGCCACUACACUCCAACCUGGGCAACAUAGCAAGACCCCAUCUCUU
This is an unclassified non-coding RNA of Callithrix jacchus (white-tufted-ear marmoset), 300 nucleotides long. It matches the Rfam family "Metazoan signal recognition particle RNA". From Rfam's summary of the family: The signal recognition particle (SRP) is a universally conserved ribonucleoprotein. It is involved in the co-translational targeting of proteins to membranes. The record is from Ensembl. NCBI's taxonomy places the organism in Eukaryota, Metazoa, Chordata, Mammalia, Primates, Cebidae.